Long non-coding RNA from Arvicanthis niloticus (Nile rat), 1439 nucleotides. RefSeq lists it as uncharacterized. The record is from RefSeq and is a predicted model, not a curated record. Lineage: Eukaryota; Metazoa; Chordata; Mammalia; Rodentia; Muridae.
UUGCAACACAGAGAGCACCAAAUUCCAACCAAAUUGUGCAUUUAACUCAAGCUGAUACAGAAGACAGCCUAGAGGCACAGGAACAGUGCCUGGGAACUUCAGGGCCUGUCCAACAAUGGACCUCUCAGUCCUAUAAGAAGAUACCAAUGGAAAGUCCCAUCAAUACUUUCUAUCCUUUGCAGCUGAACUAUUCUUCCUGGUGCUGGCUCUAAGGAAUGAUGGGAUUCUAAGAAGAGGGAGGACACCGUGUCAAGUGGUGUGCAGCUGGUCGCAAAGCCUGCUCGUUGCUGAGAACUGACCUAAACCAAUUUGGUCAUUCUACAGUCAAUGGUUAUUCUUGUAAGCAUGAGUCAUCUCUGGCAAAUGGAGUGGAUAAAAGCCAUGAAUCCCUCAUCUCCGGACUCCUCCAAAAUACCACCUAACACCUAGUAGGGAGGAGUGGUACAAAGAAAGCAUUCCUAGACCAGCCUCUUCAAGUAUAAACAUUUAUUAUCAGAGGCUCACAAGCCAAGCUGCCUUUGAUAUUAGAAGAAACUUUGAACCUGAUUUUCAGUUUGGGGAGCAUUAAGACUCCAGGAACUUUGGAAGUUGAACUAGAUCCAUUGGCGUUAUGAAGCCAGGAGUGUAUGAGGACACAAUACUGUUGCUUAAAUGAAAAAUAUCCACCCCAUAGACUUGAAUGUUUAAAUAUUUGGUUCCCAGUCAGUGGUACCACUUUUGGAGGUAUGGAACCUUCAGGACUAGCUGGCAGAAGUGGGUUACUGGGGUGGCAUCUCCUUCUAGAUCUGUCUCACCCUCUCUGAUUCCUGUUCUGCCAAGAUGUGAGAAGUUGCCUCCUUGCUUUCCCAUAAGGAUGCCUUUUGAACUAUGAAGGAUUGAUAUUUCCAACACUAUGAGCCACAAUAAAUUCUGUCUUUGUGGUUACAGUAACAUGAAAGUAACUCGUAAUAGAUAUAUAGACUCAACGGGGUAGGAAGUAGUGAUUUCCCUGUCACUGGAAGCAUCCAAGGAAUCUUUGUGAGCACAGUUCAGGAGCAGAGGGAGCACUUUUCCUGAAGGCAGAGCAUGGGCCUGAAUAUUAGUGAUGAUAUCAAUAAGAGUACUAACAACUGAGCCUCCUGUUUGUUGAAGCAUGGGGGACAUUGUGCUAGAUACUUCACAGAUGUGGGCGUAUUUAAUGCAUACAGGGAGGUCUCUGAUUUUAUAGUACUAUCCAUUUGGCAUGUUAUUAAAUCAAAGCUCAUAAGUGUUAAAUAAUUUAUCAAGCUCACACCGCUGAUAUGACCACAGAAGCUGGGAACCAGAGCACACACUGCUUUUCCUUUUUCCAGAAUGAUCCAGCUCCAUGUUUUUCAAAAUGUUUUAAGUGACAGAUCCUUCUUGUUAAAUAAAAAUGUAUGCUGUGCAUCAAUACAUAAGUUUAAAAUUAUUGUACUAAU